UCUGGCCAUUCCACCCUGAAUGCACAUGACUUUGUCUGAUCUCAGAAGCUAAGUAGGGUCAGGUCGGGCCUGUUAGUAGUAAGAUGGAGAAAGAUGCAAAAGUUACAUGUGGUUUACAGAG
This 121-nucleotide ribosomal RNA is filed under the name Mus spicilegus (steppe mouse). Lineage: Eukaryota; Metazoa; Chordata; Mammalia; Rodentia; Muridae. The record is from RNAcentral.